This 71-nucleotide transfer RNA is filed under the name Cordylochernes scorpioides. Its description in RNAcentral is "tRNA-Gly". Lineage: Eukaryota; Metazoa; Arthropoda; Arachnida; Pseudoscorpiones; Chernetidae. The record is from RNAcentral.
UGCAUCGGCCGGGAAUCGAACUCAGGCCGCCCGCGUGGCAGGCGAGCAUUCUACCACUGAACCACCGAUGC